Molecule: transfer RNA, 76 nt
Filed under: bacterium
Lineage: Bacteria
Description: tRNA-Asp
Rfam family: tRNA
About the family: Transfer RNA (tRNA) molecules are approximately 80 nucleotides in length.
Source: RNAcentral
GGGCGCGCAGGGAAGUGGAGUUCCCGCCUCACUGUCGAUGAGGAGACCGCGGGUUCGAGUCCCGCCGCGCCCGCCA